GAUGAACGCUGGCGGCGUGCCUAAUACAUGCAGGUCGAGCGAACGGACGAGAAGCUUGCUUCUCUGAUGUUAGCGGCGGACGGGUGAGUAACACGUGGAUAACCUACCUAUAAGACUGGGAUAACUUCGGGAAACCGGAGCUAAUACUGGAUAAUAUUUUGAACCGCAUGGUUCAAAAGUGAAAGACGGUCUUGCUGUCACUUAUAGAUGGAUCCGCGCUGCAUUAGCUAGUUGGUAAGGUAACGGCUUACCAAGGCAACGAUGCAUAGCCGACCUGAGAGGGUGAUCGGCCACACUGGAACUGAGACACGGUCCAGACUCCUACGGGAGGCAGCAGUAGGGAAUCUUCCGCAAUGGGCGAAAGCCUGACGGAGCAACGCCGCGUGAGUGAUGAAGGUCUUCGGAUCGUAAAACUCUGUUAUUAGGGAAGAACAUAUGUGUAAGUAACUGUGCACAUCUUGACGGUACCUAAUCAGAAAGCCACGGCUAACUACGUG
Molecule: ribosomal RNA, 497 nt
Filed under: uncultured bacterium
Lineage: Bacteria
Description: partial 16S ribosomal RNA
Rfam family: Bacterial small subunit ribosomal RNA
Source: RNAcentral